Molecule: long non-coding RNA, 395 nt
Filed under: Calidris pygmaea (Spoon-billed sandpiper)
Lineage: Eukaryota; Metazoa; Chordata; Aves; Charadriiformes; Scolopacidae
Description: lncRNA (ENSCPGG00000019036.1)
Source: RNAcentral
GGCACAACCACUUUGGUCUCCUACUUCGGGCAGCUGUGCAUGUACUAGGGGAAUGGAAUUUACUGGGGAAAUAAUGGUGCUCACUGCAAGACUCCAUCUCCUGUAGCUUCCUGCAGGUAUGAAAAACAGCACAGAGCAGAAGGUCCCUGCCAUUGCUCUUGUCUUCAUCUGAAAAAGAGAGAUUGUUCCUCGCUUAUGCUGCUUGUCAUCCUAGCGUCUGCGUGUACCUGUUGCUGUGCUGAUGAUGAAGUCCAUUUCCCGGUAACUGGACAGUGAAUGCUUCUGUUCACUUUGGUGUUGCUGACUACAUCUAAUUUGAAGAGACCUUGUAAGGCCAGCUAACAGAGAGAGAGACUGCCUGCAUGAAACACGGCCUCAAAUGAACACUGACAGCC